CCUACGGGGUGCUGCAGUGGGGAAUCUUCCGCAAUGGGCGCAAGCCUGACGGAGCAAUGCCGCGUGAACGAAGAAGGUCUUCGGAUUGUAAAGUUCUGUCCUUAUCGAAGAGAGGGUAUAGAGUGAAAAAUGAUAUACUAGGACGGUAGAUGAGGAGGAAGCCCCGGCUAACUACGUGCCAGCAGCCGCGGUAAUACGUAGGGGGCGAGCGUUGUCCGGAAUCACUGGGCGUAAAGGGCGCGUAGGCGGUAAUAUAAGUCAGAUGUGAAAGGUGGGGGCUCAACCCGUGAACUGCAUUUGAAACUGUUUCCCUUGAGUGUCGGAGAGGUAAUCGGAAUUCCUUGUGUAGCGGUGAAAUGCGUAGAUAUAAGGAAGAACACCAGUGGCGAAGGCGGAUUACUGGACGAUAACUGACGUUGAGGCACGAAAGCGUGGGUAGCAAACAGGAUUAGAUACCCUGGUAGUC
RNAcentral lists this ribosomal RNA (466 nucleotides) under uncultured bacterium. RNAcentral describes it as "partial 16S ribosomal RNA". It matches the Rfam family "Bacterial small subunit ribosomal RNA", at positions 338 to 795 of the family's 1533-position model. The record is from RNAcentral.